CUCAGCGUACGGCUCUGUAACACGUAGUUAAUCUGCCCUUGGGACGGGUAUAACCCUGGGAAACUGGGGCUAAUCCCCGAUAGGCGCAGUGGCCUGGAAUGGUACUGCACUCAAAAGGCUUCAAGAACAUGCUCUUGGAGUUGCCCUAGGAUGAGACUGCGGCCGAUCAGGUUGUUGGUGGGGUAACGGCCUACCAAGCCUAUUACCGGUACGGGCCCUGAGAGGGGUAGCCCGGAGAUGGGAACUGAGACAAGGUCCCAGGUCCUACGGGGCGCAGCAGGCGCGAAAACUCCGCAAUGCGCGAAUGCGUGACGGGGUCAUCCCGAGUGCCGUCCGAUGAGGAUGGCUUUUCUUCAGUUUAAGGAUCUGGAGGAAUAAAGGGGGGGCAAGACUGGUGUCAGCCGCCGCGGUAAUACCAGCCCCCUGAGUGGUAGGGACGAUUAUUUGGCCUAAAGCGUCCGUAGCCGGCUUAGGGAGUCUUUCGUCAAAUCCGACGAUUCCAUCGUUGGACCGCGGAAGAUACUGCUAGGCUUGAGGACGGGAGAGGUCGACGGUAGUCCCGGGGUAGGGGUGAAAUCCUAUAAUCCUGGGAGGACCACCAGUGGCGAAGGCGGUCGACUAGAACGUGCCUGACGGUGAUGGACGAAAGCUGGGGGAGCGAACCGGAUUAGACACCCGGGUAGUCCCAGCUGUAAACGAUGCGAGCUAGGUGUUGGAGCAACUACGGGUUGCCCCAGUGCCGCAGAGAAGUCGUUAAGCUCGCCGCCUGGGAAGUACGGCCGGCAGGCUGAACUUAAAGGCCU
This 803-nucleotide ribosomal RNA is filed under the name uncultured soil archaeon. RNAcentral describes it as "bacterial SSU rRNA". It matches the Rfam family "Archaeal small subunit ribosomal RNA", at positions 77 to 865 of the family's 1478-position model. The record is from RNAcentral.